RNAcentral lists this ribosomal RNA (443 nucleotides) under uncultured bacterium. RNAcentral describes it as "SSU rRNA". It matches the Rfam family "Bacterial small subunit ribosomal RNA", at positions 26 to 518 of the family's 1533-position model. The record is from RNAcentral.
AGAACGAACGCUGGCGGCAGGCUUAACACAUGCAAGUCGAGCGCCCAGCAAUGGGAGCGGCGGACGGGUGAGUAACACGUGGGAACAUGCCCUUUGGUACGGGACAACUCAGGGAAACUUGAGCUAAUACCGUAUGUGCCGGUAACGGGAAAGAUUUAUCGCCAAAGGAAUGGCCCGCGUCCGAUUAGCUAGUUGGUGAGGUAAUGGCUCACCAAGGCACCGAUCGGUAGCUGGUUUGAGAGAACGACCAGCCACACUGGGACUGAGACACGGCCCAGACUCCUACGGGAGGCAGCAGUGGGGAAUCUUGGACAAUGGGGGCAACCCUGAUCCAGCCAUGCCGCGUGAGUGAUGAAGGCCUUCGGGUUGUAAAACUCUUUCGACGGGACGAUAAUGACGGUACCCGUAGAAGAAGCUCCGGCUAACUUCGCGCCAGCAGCCGC